Molecule: ribosomal RNA, 712 nt
Filed under: Lentilactobacillus buchneri
Lineage: Bacteria; Bacillati; Bacillota; Bacilli; Lactobacillales; Lactobacillaceae
Description: bacterial SSU rRNA
Rfam family: Bacterial small subunit ribosomal RNA
Source: RNAcentral
GAGACGAGUGGCGAACUGGUGAGUAACACGUGGGUAACCUGCCCUUGAAGUAGGGGAUAACACUUGGAAACAGGUGCUAAUACCGUAUAACAACCAAAACCACCUGGUUUUGGUUUAAAAGACGGCUUCGGCUGUCACUUUAGGAUGGACCCGCGGCGUAUUAGCUUGUUGGUAAGGUAACGGCCUACCAAGGCGAUGAUACGUAGCCGACCUGAGAGGGUAAUCGGCCACAUUGGGACUGAGACACGGCCCAAACUCCUACGGGAGGCAGCAGUAGGGAAUCUUCCACAAUGGACGAAAGUCUGAUGGAGCAACGCCGCGUGAGUGAUGAAGGGUUUCGGCUCGUAAAACUCUGUUGUUGGAGAAGAACAGGUGUCAGAGUAACUGUUGACAUCUUGACGGUAUCCAACCAGAAAGCCACGGCUAACUACGUGCCAGCAGCCGCGGUAAUACGUAGGUGGCAAGCGUUGUCCGGAUUUAUUGGGCGUAAAGCGAGCGCAGGCGGUUUUUUAGGUCUGAUGUGAAAGCCUUCGGCUUAACCGGAGAAGUGCAUCGGAAACCGGGAGGCUUGAGUGCAGAAGAGGACAGUGGAACUCCAUGUGUAGCGGUGAAAUGCGUAGAUAUAUGGAAGAACACCAGUGGCGAAGGCGGCUGUCUGGUCUGUAACUGACGCUGAGGCUCGAAAGCAUGGGUAGCGAACAGGAUUAGAUAC